GACGAACGCUGGCGGCGUGCUUAACACAUGCAAGUCGAACGGAAACGCCCUGCUCUUGUGCUGUGCUCGAGUGGCGAACGCGUGAGUAACACGCGUGUAACACGCCCUUGACUUUGGGAUAACUUCAGGAAACUGGGGUUAAUACCGGAUAGGAGUUCCCGCUGCAUGGGGGGGGUUGGAAAGUUUCGGCGGUUGGGGAUGGACUCGCGGCUUAUCAGCUUGUUGGUGGGGUAGUGGCUUACCAAGGCUUUGACGGGUAGCCGGCCUGAGCAGGUGACCGGCCACAUUGGGACUGAGAUACGGCGCAGACUCCUACGGGAGGCAGCAGUGGGGAAUAUUGCACAGUGGGCGGAAGCCUGAUGCAGCAACGCCGCGUGCGGGAUGACGGCCUUCGGGUUGUGAACCGCUUUCGCCUGUGACGAAGCGUGAGUGACGGUAAUGGGUAAAGAAGCACCGGCUAACUACGUG
Molecule: ribosomal RNA, 468 nt
Filed under: uncultured bacterium
Lineage: Bacteria
Description: partial 16S ribosomal RNA
Rfam family: Bacterial small subunit ribosomal RNA
Source: RNAcentral